Long non-coding RNA from Eriocheir sinensis (Chinese mitten crab), 1524 nucleotides. RefSeq lists it as uncharacterized. Lineage: Eukaryota; Metazoa; Arthropoda; Malacostraca; Decapoda; Varunidae. The transcript has 3 exons. The record is from RefSeq and is a predicted model, not a curated record.
ACUCCCCAACAACCGGACUCCCAAGGCUCGGCAGCUAACAUGAUGACCCUCCAAGAGCCUGAUGGUGUUGUAGAUAAAAUUCUUUAAUCAACAAAGAGCCUCUGACACAUGGACAUCAACUGAAUCUAAGAAGCCGAGGAGCGGAAAAAGUGAGGUCAAUCUGGUUCGGCCGGCGGCCAUUAAAGGACUGGCAGAAAGCAGCAGGUGACAGCCGCUGCUCCCUUGCAGCAUCUGCACAAGUAUCCAUCGACCCGUGUACCACUGACACCAGAUGAGCCCCUCACUCUGGACGAGGGCAUCACCACACCCCUCCCUCCCUCCUCCCCUGCCCGGGCCAGCCACCUUGGGAGCACAUCCUUCAGUGGGGUAGUUAUUGCCAAAAGGACGGUUCUAUUUCUCCAUAGUUAAGUAUACUUUGGGAGUGGGGGUAACGAGGUGCCCUCUGGCCGAGUGCAUUACUUGACAGCAAAUGGCAACUGCUGAGCCAUGGGCCCCAGGUCUCUUUGGCACAAGAUACAGUUAGGGCACGAGCGAGACCUUGUCAGGACGCACGAGGUUCUCAUUCAGUAGGAUCAUAAAGUCAGAAUUGUUUGUGUGGACAUGAUCCUCAGUUCUGAUGGUGUAACCUAAUUUUUGUCUAUAUGACAUGCAGCACACAAUUUCAUAAUUUGGUUGUAUCACAAGAAUUCCAUUACAAUACAUUUAUCACAAUACAUGUAGCUUUAAAGUGGAUUCAUCCUUAAUGAUAUGGAAUCACCUGUGCUUUAAUAUUGUGGGGUGAAGUGUACUAAUCGAUAAUAUACAUAUCUGGAGAAAGGCACCAGUCAGGUUGAGAGACACAAUGUCCACUGAUACUGCCAAGACAACCUCGUACGGACAGAUUAGUUGGCUGGGGUCAAGUUACCACAGAAUGUAUACCAGAAACUCUAUACUAAUUUGAGUCCUGAUAUUGAGAGGUUAUAAUUAACAAUUUAAAAAGAUCUACUGUACACAGAAUGAUAUGUACCUAUCAUUCCUGUAUCAUCACCAUUGCCUGUCACAAUGCAAUAUAAAUUUCUUAUUUCAUACAAUGUGUGCUCUUGAAGGACACACCCCUUUCAACAUUCUUAUAUCAUGCAGGUACCAAAGCCAGCCUCACUGGCCUCCAAACAGGUAACAAAAGGAACACACAUGCACAAUACUUGGUAUUUUCCAGGUACAAACACUGCAGGAAUAAUUAAGGGCCUUUGGUGAAAAAGGGACAUUCAAAAGGUCCAUACUUUUAAUCACUCAACUGACUAAAACUAGAUCUUCGUAAAAACACAUCACAAGUGAAUAAAAUUAAUUCUCCAUUUGCCACUGGCUUUCAUAAUACCAGCAGAGCCUUGAACAUUCUUCAAGAGCAUCCCUAUAAACUUUCAAGUUUUGAUUUUGUCUGCAGGUGAUGCCGGUAGUGGUUUCUGCGUUUAGAGACCGCCGUCUGCUGACCACUGACUGGCUAACACUACUACAGAUGGGAUGCCCUUCACCUUCACAUUCUAUCAC